RNAcentral lists this ribosomal RNA (467 nucleotides) under uncultured bacterium. Its description in RNAcentral is "partial 16S ribosomal RNA". It matches the Rfam family "Bacterial small subunit ribosomal RNA", at positions 28 to 506 of the family's 1533-position model. The record is from RNAcentral.
GACGAACGCUGGCGGCGUGCUUAACACAUGCAAGUCGAACGGAAAGGCCCUGCUUUUGUGGGGUGCUCGAGUGGCGAACGGGUGAGUAACACGUGAGUAACCUGCCCUUGACUUUGGGAUAACUUCAGGAAACUGGGGCUAAUACCGGAUAGGAGCUCCUGCUGCAUGGUGGGGGUUGGAAAGUUUCGGCGGUUGGGGAUGGACUCGCGGCUUAUCAGCUUGUUGGUGGGGUAGUGGCUUACCAAGGCUUUGACGGGUAGCCGGCCUGAGAGGGUGACCGGCCACAUUGGGACUGAGAUACGGCCCAGACUCCUACGGGAGGCAGCAGUGGGGAAUAUUGCACAAUGGGCGGAAGCCGGAUGCAGCAACGCCACGUGCGGGAUGACGGCCUUCGGGUUGUAAACCGCUUUCGCCUGUGACGAAGCGUGAGUGACGGUAAUGGGUAAAGAAGCACCGGCUAACUACGU